RNAcentral lists this ribosomal RNA (503 nucleotides) under uncultured bacterium. RNAcentral's name for it is "partial 16S ribosomal RNA". It matches the Rfam family "Bacterial small subunit ribosomal RNA", at positions 30 to 523 of the family's 1533-position model. The record is from RNAcentral.
AUUGAACGCUGGCGGCAGGCUUAACACAUGCAAGUCGAGCGGGGUGAUGGUGCUUGCACUAUCACUUAGCGGCGGACGGGUGAGUAAUGCUUAGGAAUCUGCCUAUUAGUGGGGGACAACAUCUCGAAAGGGAUGCCAAUACCGCAUACGCCCUACGGGAGAAAGCAGGGGAUCACUUGUGACCUUGCGCUAAUAGAUGAGCCUAAGUCGGAUUAGCUAGUUGGUGGGGUAAAGGCCUACCAAGGCGACGAUCUGUAGCGGGUCUGAGAGGAUGAUCCGCCACACUGGGACUGAGACACGGCCCAGACUCCUACGGGAGGCAGCAGUGGGGAAUAUUGGACAAUGGGGGGAACCCUGAUCCAGCCAUGCCGCGUGUGUGAAGAAGGCCUUAUGGUUGUAAAGCACUUUAAGCGAGGAGGAGGCUCUUUAGGUUAAUACCCAAGAUGAGUGGACGUUACUCGCAGAAUAAGCACCGGCUAACUCUGUGCCAGCCGCCGCGGUAA